AUUUUAAGAUAACCCUCCAUAUUUAUUUGUGAUUGAUGAAUAAAAAAACAUGUAUGUGGGAGCUGGAGAGAUGGCUUGGCAGUUUGGAUUGCUGACUGCUCUGACAGAUGACCCAGGUUUGGCUCUAAACAUCCACAAAGGCAGUUCUUCUUAUCAAGUAUUCCUAUUUAUGGUUGCCUUUAUAUUUUCAAAUCUUUUCUUAAAGUAUAAUUAGUUUCCGAGCUGGAAAGGUAGAUCAGUGGUUACAGCACUCCCUGUUCUCGCAGAGGACCUGGGUUCUGUUCCUUGGACCCUUAUAACAACUCAUAACCAUCUGUAACUCCAGUUCUCACUUUUAGUUCAAUAUCCUCUGGGAAGCUGGUUUCAUUCUCUUGCCCUCACAGAAGGAACUUAUAUAGGCAGCCAGUCUUUGGUGCUUAAGGCCACUCCCACAGAGCAGCUGAGCUGGGAUUUAAAGUCUCCAGCAUAUUCGUCAACCCAUAUUCUUUUCACCUCUCAGGCUGUUUGACUGGUAAAGACAGAAUGGCUUGGCUCUUUUGGGCCAAUGCUUCAAGCUCCGCCUGGAACUAUAAAAUGUGCUCACUUCUGGGACUCAGGCUUGUCAACAUCCUGCAAGUCUGCCUGUAGGCGGGAAUCACAUAUUCUUCAACCUCACAGCUUCCCCUGACCCUCUUCCUUCAAUGGCUUCAGGGUUUGGACCUCACAACCAGCAAAUUAUAACCUAUGAGUCUGGGGAAGCUCAGUCCAUCUUCUGUGCCUCAUUUUGCUCAGUGUGCAGUCUAGGAAUAGUGUUUUGUUGCAUGUAAAUAUUUGCAACUGGUUUGAUGACCGAGGGCAGUGUACUCAAAGUUAAGUAAUCCACUAAAAGAUUUUAUUCUCUGAAUCUCAUUGAUUUCAGGUGUAUUAAUUAAGCCUGAAGCAUAAAAUAGAAAUUGUACUCAAUUAGUAUGCUGCAAAUGUCAUCAAUGAUAGAUAUAUGACUUGUAUAUAUGAUAUAUAUACAAGCAUCAAUACUGUGAUCACUUUCGUUUCUUGGUUUGCAAACCCAGAAAUAUACAAUGUCCAAAUGUUUGCCAGUCCCUGUCUAAAAGGAAAAGCUACCAGGCAAUGGGAGGGCUUAUAGGAAACUAGGAGAGGGUAAGGGGAGCCAAGGAAAAAUGAUGUGCUCUUGCUAAUGAGUGGGAAGAAACGGGUUGUUCUUUCACUAGCUAUGCGAAUGGAGUCCUUCAGAAUUGGACAAUUUUCCUAUACUCCAGCAAAACGUCAUUUCGAUUCAAAUGAAGCAAGAAAUUAUCACAUGCAUUAAGGCAUGUUAAGUAUGUACAUGCAGACAGACAUACACACAACACAAGCAUACACCCGGCAGCUGGCCUUUUCUGAGGGAAACGUCUGAGCCCAAAUCCGAGGUAGGCUAUAGACUGAUUCCUGCAGGUCUUCCCUGAAGUGCUGAUGGCUCCCUGAAUAGCUGGUGAAAGGCCUCGUAAAGAAAACCAACAAGUUUCAUUCCUCAUUCUUCUAGAAACUGCACUGUUCUCUGUGUGCUUCUUGUGGUCUGUCCUAACUCCUCCAUUGUUCUAGAAUCCUCUACAGAAAAGCAAGCUUUGCCGAGGUUCAUGUGUUGGCUCUUUACCCUUUUCUUAACUACUUCUAGAAAAUUUGACUUCUGGAAUCUGAUCACACCCCUGGGCUCUUCCACUUAAAACACUGCAGUAUGUCAGGAUGUCAUAUUACUGUGGCAAAGGUUAGAUAACUGUAGCUAUACUGGCCCUGAGCUCCUGCAUCUCUGUCUCCAGCGACCCUCGGCAGCUUCUCGGCUUACCACUUUCUGUCUGUAGUGUAGCUGGACUCACAUCCUCCAUUUCUCCAGGAUUGAUUCAAUUCCUACCUUUUAGCCAGUUUAUCUUAAGCAUUUAAAUAUGUUUAUAAAUUUAAUGACUUCUUAUUUUCAAGAGCUUGCAUUGCUGUUAGGCUAGAAAUUCCAGUAUUAAAACAUUUCCAUACUCUGAGGCCAUGUAAGGUUUUUUUUUUGGGGGGGGGUUGGGUAAGAUCUUAAAAUCCCAGUUUAUGGGUGUAGCUCAUCAAGCUAGCACAGCUAUUACAAUGCUAAAGACAUGUUUAUUAUACCCACACUUUAGAUAAGCUAUUUGUAGCUUAUUCAAUAUUGCACUCCAAUUGCAGACACUCAUGGAUGGCUUCCCGUUGCUCUUAGAAGAAAGUGCUCACCCUAGACUGGGAUACAGGCGCUUUUAGAAGUCUCAAUUCUUUUUUGCCCUCUCUUUUCACAGGGCUCUGGCUGUAAUGACCGCUUUGUUCCUUGCAUGCACUCAGCUGACCUCUCCCUCCACUUGUGAAUGGCAUUCGGUUGCCACUUUUUCAGGACUAGUUCACACUUGGAAUCCAGAGAGACAUUUAAAUGUCACCACAAUUAUUCAUUAUUCAUCAUCCUUUCUCAAAUUCUCUCCUCUGUCUGUAAUAUGAACCCACCUCGUUUUUCUUUAGGAUUUAGCUUUCUGGAGUUUGUGUUUUUGUACUAGAUCUUGUCUGUUUAUGCUGACUAUAAAACAGCGUUAAGAAGGCAAGAGUCUUAAGUCUAAUGCUGCCAUCUCUAUGAUGUCCAGACACUGUUCAUUUAUUUUGAAUAAAUGAUCAAAUGUAACCAUGCAGAGUCUGGUUCAUUUUAGGCGGGGGAAGUUUACUUUCCCUCUAAGUGAGCAUCUUACGUGUACUUGGGUUCAGAGAACUCUGGUUAAUAUGUAGAGGAAGCCAUUUUUGUAUGUGAAACAACAGGACCUUAUGUGAUACUCAAUACUGAUAGAUAACUGUUUCAGACUGAAGCAGAGCAAGCAGAUAAUCUGUGUGUCAUAAAUAAAUUAGAAAUUUAACAAAUCCCUUCACAGUGAUGAUUGAGACAUUAUUCUUUAAAAAAACAUCAUUAUUAGUUUUAGGAGAAGUUCUUAUCAGUUUUUGAAAUUACAACUAUUGUCUUGAUUUUUAAAAGGAUGUUAAACAUUUAUAACUACUGAACUCUGCCAUAUUUUCAAUGAAAUUCAUCUAUCUAAAAUUUGAAUAAAAUUUAGCAUUUCUAAUGCUUAAAGACCUCAAUAAUCUCUGGAUGUCAUUUUCCUUAAAUUUCCGACUAUUCAUUGCACAUGUACUUUCUCUCUCAUUUACUUAAUCGUUCAUAUUUACUUAAAAAUUAUAUUUUUAAAAAAAUUAAAAAGGG
This is a non-coding RNA of Myodes glareolus (Bank vole), 3223 nucleotides long. The record is from RefSeq and is a predicted model, not a curated record. Lineage: Eukaryota; Metazoa; Chordata; Mammalia; Rodentia; Cricetidae.